UGGGGAAUAUUGCACAAUGGGCGCAAGCCUGAUGCAGCAACGCCGCGUGAGGGACGACGGCCUUCGGGUUGUAAACCUCUUUUAGUAGGGAAGAAGCGAAAGUGACGGUACCUGCAGAAAAAGCACCGGCUAACUACGUGCCAGCAGCCGCGGUAAUACGUAGGGUGCAAGCGUUGUCCGGAAUUAUUGGGCGUAAAGAGCUCGUAGGCGGUUUGUCGCGUCUGCUGUGAAACCCCGAGGCUCAACCUCGGGCCUGCAGUGGGUACGGGCAAGCUAGAGUGCGGUAGGGGAGAUUGGAAUUCCUGGUGUAGCGGUGGAAUGCGCAGAUAUCAGGAGGAACACCAAUGGCGAAGGCAGAUCUCUGGGCCGUUACUGACGCUGAGGAGCGAAAGCGUGGGGAGCGAACA
RNAcentral lists this ribosomal RNA (407 nucleotides) under uncultured Microbacteriaceae bacterium. Its description in RNAcentral is "partial 16S ribosomal RNA". It matches the Rfam family "Bacterial small subunit ribosomal RNA", at positions 355 to 774 of the family's 1533-position model. Lineage: Bacteria; Bacillati; Actinomycetota; Actinomycetes; Micrococcales; Microbacteriaceae. The record is from RNAcentral.